CCUGCCCCUCGAGGGGUUGCAGGGGUGGCUGCUGUGUCACAUCUGCGUGACUAGGCGGCAGACAGAAUCGAGGCUAUGUCUACACUCAGGGCUCCGACCCGUGAACGCCUGAAUGAUUAGUAGCCUGACACG
This 132-nucleotide small nucleolar RNA is filed under the name Chinchilla lanigera (long-tailed chinchilla). RNAcentral's name for it is "Small nucleolar RNA SNORA17 (ENSCLAG00000018767.1)". It matches the Rfam family "Small nucleolar RNA SNORA17". From Rfam's summary of the family: snoRNA ACA 17 belongs to the H/ACA family of snoRNAs and is predicted to guide pseudouridylation of the 28S rRNA at positions U4659 and U4598. It shares the same host gene together with ACA43. The record is from Rfam by way of RNAcentral. Lineage: Eukaryota; Metazoa; Chordata; Mammalia; Rodentia; Chinchillidae.